Acanthosepion pharaonis is the source of this 113-nucleotide non-coding RNA. NCBI's taxonomy places the organism in Eukaryota, Metazoa, Mollusca, Cephalopoda, Sepiida, Sepiidae. The record is from the annotation of a GenBank genome assembly.
UUACGGCCACAUUACACUUAUACACUGGUUCCCAUAUGAUCAUUGAAGUUAAGCAAUGUCACACCUGAUUAGUAACUAAAUAGGGGAUCACUUGGGAAUAGCAGGGGCUGUAA